UGGGGAAUCUUCCGCAAUGGACGAAAGUCUGACGGAGCAACGCCGCGUGAGUGAAGAAGGUUUUCGGAUCGUAAAACUCUGUCUUUUGGGGCGAACGUGAGUAUGGUGAACAAAUCAUAGUCAGUGACGGUACCAAAGGAGGAAGCCACGGCUAACUACGUGCCAGCAGCCGCGGUAAUACGUAGGUGGCAAGCGUUGUCCGGAAUUAUUGGGCGUAAAGAGCGCGUAGGCGGGAUAGUCAGUCUGUUGUAAAAGUGCGGGGCUCAACCCCGUGAUCGCAAUGGAAACAGCUAUUCUUGAGUGCAGGAGAGGAAAGUGGAAUUCCCAGUGUAGCGGUGAAAUGCGUAGAUAUUGGGAGGAACACCAGUGGCGAAGGCGACUUUCUGGACUGUGUCUGACGCUGAGGCGCGAAAGCCAGGGGAGCGAACGGGAUUAGAUACCCCGGUAGUCCUGGCCGUAAAACGAUGGGUACUAGGUGUGGGAGGUAUCGACCCCUUCCGUGCCGGAGUUAACGCAAUAAGUACCCCGCCUGGGGAGUACGGUCGCAAGACUGAAACUCAAAUGAAUUGACGGGGUCAUAGCUGUUUCC
This 589-nucleotide ribosomal RNA is filed under the name uncultured bacterium. RNAcentral's name for it is "partial 16S ribosomal RNA". It matches the Rfam family "Bacterial small subunit ribosomal RNA", at positions 355 to 937 of the family's 1533-position model. The record is from RNAcentral.